This 520-nucleotide ribosomal RNA is filed under the name uncultured Glomus. Its description in RNAcentral is "SSU rRNA". It matches the Rfam family "Eukaryotic small subunit ribosomal RNA", at positions 569 to 1090 of the family's 1831-position model. Lineage: Eukaryota; Fungi; Glomeromycota; Glomeromycetes; Glomerales; Glomeraceae. The record is from RNAcentral.
AGCAGCCGCGGUAAUUCCAGCUCCAAUAGCGUAUAUUAAAGUUGUUGCAGUUAAAAAGCUCGUAGUUGAAUUUCGGGAUCAAUACGUCGGUCGUGCUUUCGGGUACGUACUGGCGUCAUUGGUUUCUCCUUUCUGACGAACCAUGAUGUCAUUAAUUUGGUGUUAUGGGGAGUUAGGACUGUUACUUUGAAAAAAUUAGAGUGUUUAAAGCAGGCAUUAGCUUGAAUACAUUAGCAUGGAAUAAUGAAAUAGGACGUUCGAUCCUAUUUUGUUGGUUUCUAGGAUUGACGUAAUGAUUAAUAGGGAUAGUUGGGGGCAUUAGUAUUCAAUUGUCAGAGGUGAAAUUCUUGGAUUUAUUGAAGACUAACUACUGCGAAAGCAUUUGCCAAGGAUGUUUUCAUUAAUCAAGAACGAAAGUUAGGGGAUCGAAGACGAUCAGAUACCGUCGUAGUCUUAACCAUAAACUAUGCCGACUAGGGAUCGGAUGAUGUUAAUUUUUAAUGACUCAUUCGGCGCCUUA